This is a long non-coding RNA of Danio aesculapii, 1152 nucleotides long. RefSeq lists it as uncharacterized. Lineage: Eukaryota; Metazoa; Chordata; Actinopteri; Cypriniformes; Danionidae. The record is from RefSeq and is a predicted model, not a curated record. The transcript is spliced from 3 exons.
UUUUAUUACAGGGAACGCGCUUUAAGAACAGCCAAAAUCACCGUCCGAAAGUAUAUCAAGUUUAUCUGGAAAGACGUAAGAUCGAUAUUAAACGCAAAAUAUUUGGAUGUGAACGUCAGAAAUCGACUUGUCGCCUCUGUUUGCUCCAUUAACGCCCAUUUCACGAGGAGCUGAGGAGAAAACAACCGCGUAAAACACGUCAAAGCGUUAAUAUGUUUAACAUGCGCUAUAUGAAUUAAGAGGAAGUGUGUAUUUUGCUGCAGGAACGACAGACAGACAGACGGACGGUAAUGUGAUCAUCUAUAAGAGGAGCUCCAGAAACCAGGAGUCCCGGCUCGGGUUGACGGAGGCCGCGUGUCCCGCCCUGACCCCGGCGAGGAGGAUCAGUUCAGCACUGAAUGUCGAGCCUCAACGCAUUCAAAUCAAUCAGCCCGUGUGACGUCAUCAGGCACGUGACCGGUGCGGUUCGCCGGAGGUGUUUGAUCUGAGGCCCUGAAACCCCAGAGAGGCCGACCCUCCACUCGCUCUGCAGGAUUAUUGUGGAUUUUCGAGACCGCCUCGUCCUACGCAAUCAGAUGAAGAGACUCGCAGACUGCACUGACACUGGGUUAAGUUGUGCAGGAUUCCUCUUUGUCAGAUUUGACUCUUCUGACUCAUCUGAUGGAACAAAUGAAAACUUUACUCAUUAAUCACUGACCAGUUUUUCACAGUAGCUGACAUUCAGAUUUAACAUGCUACAGUGCACUGUCAAAAAAUAUCUGUCAAUCAAUUCACAAGUGAUUUCCAUUUAUUUGCGGUGGUGAAUUGCAUUAAUGGAUGUUGAUCUCUGCUCUGUCGACUGUUGAUGUUGAAAAUUUAACUCUACAGUUUAACUAAAUGACUUUUAUUGACAUUUUAGUAGUUUAAAAUAAUAUAAUGUAUAAGAAAUAAUAUCUAGAGAAAUAACUAUGCCCACACCGAAUCUGCACAGGUUUUCCGCAGAUUUUUAGCCCAUCAUUAAUUCUGUUUCUUUACUUGAGUAAAUGUGUGUAAAUCUAUAUUUAUUCAGUUUUAAAAGUAAUUACAGUAAUAUUAUUGACUAAUAUGAAAAUGUUCAUCUGAUUUAUGCAUAAUGCAGUUUGUACAGUCAUAUUUUCUGUCUUUUAGUAGAGA